This 26-nucleotide small RNA is filed under the name Bombyx mori (domestic silkworm). RNAcentral's name for it is "ovarian small RNA-16398". Lineage: Eukaryota; Metazoa; Arthropoda; Insecta; Lepidoptera; Bombycidae. The record is from RNAcentral.
GCACGUUGUAUGUCACCGGGGCCAGU